GCACUGCUGAGGAGUCCCACAAUAGGACGAAACGGCCGUCGACCAUAU
This 48-nucleotide non-coding RNA is filed under the name Schistosoma mansoni. The record is from RNAcentral. Lineage: Eukaryota; Metazoa; Platyhelminthes; Trematoda; Strigeidida; Schistosomatidae.